UUCCAGGACAGCCAGGGCUGCACAGAGAAACCCUGUCUUGAAAAACCAAAAAAAAAAAAAAGAAAGGACUAAACAUUAUGUAGCAGUGCUUUACAUAGGGACUUAUUGACUCAAAAGUUGUAGAAAUUGAAAGCUAUUAUUAAAAGUUUUUGGCAGGCAUUGAAUAAGUAGCAGAUGAUAUGUAUCAUAAUUAUACAUAAUUCUUCUUAUAGGCAUGCUCAUAUACUCAUGAGCAGAUUGUAGAAAUGAUGGAAUUUUUGAUAGAGUAUGGCCCAGCUCAGCUAUAUUGGGAACCUGCUGAAGUCUUCCUCAAGCUUUCCUGUGUGCAGCUUUUACUACAGCUUAUUUCCAUCGCCUGCAAUUGGAAGACCUAUUAUGCAAGGUAGGACUAAAGGUUUCAUGAAGUUCAUAAGAUAUAACACAUAACACAUAAUGCACGUGUAACAAGCUAUUGUUGGAUUGAAGUUUUAGAUUUGACUCUGAGAAGGAAGUAGAUUAAGUAUGAGAGUGAUUUUUAUUUUCUUAUUAUUUAACUUGUUUUUUUUUUUAAUGUUGUUGUGUGUAUGCAGUUGUAUAAGCUUAUGUGCCUCACAUGUAAGUUCUUGAGGAGCUGACUAGGUCACCAAAUACCCUAGAAUUUAGAGUCAGACCGUUGUGAGAUGCCAUGAGGGUGAUGGGACUUGAACCUGGGUCCUCUGGAAGAACAGCCAGUGCUCUUAGCCCCUAAUCUACUAGAUUUUUCUAUACCAGAAAUUAAAAUGUAUAACUAUAUUGGAGUCCAAUCCAGGACCUUGCACAUGCUACCACUGAGGUACACAUCUAGGUUGUGUUUUUUUUUCUUCAUUUUUAUUGUUUAUGUGUAUGGAUAUUUAGUUUGCAUCUGGGUUUGUGUACAUGUAUGCAGUGUCCGUGGAGGCCAGAAAAGGACAUUGGAUGCUCUAGAGAUGGAAUUAUAAGAUGCUGUGUGUGUGCUUGGAAUCAAACCUGUGUCCUCUAAAAGAGCAGCCAAUGUUCUUAACUGCUGAGUCAUUUCUCCAGCCCUCACCUGUUAUUUUUUGAAACAGGGUUCUAUUAUAUAUAAUUAAAGUUGACUCUGAACUACCUAUUAAGGCCAGGUUAGCCUUGGCUUAGAUAAUUCUUUCUGCUUUACCUCUGAGUAAUAGGCAUAUAAUACUAUUUCCAGCUAUGUUCGUCUUUUUACAAUUUGCUUUUUCACAUUAAUAUUUAAAAUGCUGUAUUUCUGUACUGUUUAUUCAUGAUUGGUGUUUGAGGUUGUGGUGUGUAUAACACAGGUUAUAGCAUAUCUUCAUUUUCACCCUUAACUAGAUGUUGUAAAGCUGUAAAUGUGAUUGUAAAGUGAUCUUAAUAGUUUCCCACCUUAUAAAUGUUUGGUACUUGGUUUUAGAUUUGUGUUUUACAUUUUUUCUUUCACUUAUUUAUAUUUUGAAACCUUUCCUGUGAAAUCUGUUUUUUAAAAAAUAAUUUUCAGCAGUUACAGGGUAGUUUGCUGUCAUUGAUUUUUGGAAUAUUUUAGAUUUUAAGUGUUUAGAUUAGUUAGUGAUUCUCAACUAAUAGAUCCUAAGUAGUCUAAAAUCAGAAGGAAUGAAAUUUGAAGUGAUUUUGGUCCAGAGCAUUUUGGAUAAUGAAUUUUAGGAGAUACAUAAACACUUGUUUCUCCCUCUUUAUUGUUUUCUUUUUUGAGACAGGGUCUUGUGCUGGAGAUAGCUCAGUGGUUAAGAGACAGGCUCUCUCUACAUAGCUGUUCUGGAACUCACUCUAUAGACCAGGGUGACCUCAAAGUAACAGAGAUCCACCUGCCUCUGCCUCCUACAUGCUGGGAUUAAAGGUGUGGCUCACUGUCUGGCUCUAAGUAAGUUUAAAAAAGAAGACAAAAUUAUUU
This 1900-nucleotide long non-coding RNA is filed under the name Mus musculus (house mouse). RNAcentral describes it as "long non-coding RNA chr9:106851725-106853625". Lineage: Eukaryota; Metazoa; Chordata; Mammalia; Rodentia; Muridae. The record is from RNAcentral.